GGACGUUAUGAUGAGAAUAUGUUACCAGAGGUUAACGUUUCUCAGUGGCGCAAAGGAUCACAAUGGUUUGAAAUGAGUAGGAAGCUUGCCCUUUUCAUAGUCGAAGACACAAUAUUCUACCCCAAGUUUGCUGAGUUUUGCAGGCCAGCAUGUUACGUAGACGAGCACUACUUCCCAACAAUGCUGACUAUUGAAGCAUCAAAUCUCUUGGCAAACAGAAGUAUAACAUGGGUUGACUGGUCGAGGGGCGGAGCUCACCCUGCCACUUUUGGAAAAUCAGAUAUCACAGAAGAGUUUAUGAAGAGGAUGCUGCAAGGACAAAACUGUACGUACAACAACCGAAACACAUCAAUCUGCUAUCUGUUUGCAAGGAAGUUUGCUCCAAGUGCUUUGGAACCUCUGUUUCUGCUAGCCCCAAAAUACUUAGGUUUCUAGAUUAUAAAAAUCUAAUAUUUGGAUUAUACCGAGUAUUUUCUUCUUGUUGUAGUCCCCGGUAGGU
RNAcentral lists this unclassified non-coding RNA (499 nucleotides) under Hevea brasiliensis (rubber tree). Lineage: Eukaryota; Viridiplantae; Streptophyta; Magnoliopsida; Malpighiales; Euphorbiaceae. The record is from RNAcentral.